AACCGUAAACUUUAAAUUACACCCACAUCGCCAGGGAACUACGAGCAAAGCUUAAAACCCAAAGGACUUGACGGUACCCCACAUCCACCUAGAGGAGCCUGUCCUGUAAUCGAUAACCCCCGUUUGACCUCACCAUUUUUAGCUUAUCAGCCUGUAUACCUCCGUCGCCAGCUUACCACGUGAGCGACCCUCAGUGAGCUUAAUGCCUAUACACCAACACGUCAGGUCAAGGUGCAGCAGAUAAAAUGGGAAGAGAUGGGCUACACUCUCUAUUCUAGAAAACACGGAAGAUUAUUUAUGAAAUCUAGUCAAAAGGCGGAUUUAGUAGUAAAAAGAGAUAAGAGUGCUCUUUUUAACAUGGCACUGGGGUGUGUACACACCGCCCGUCACCCUCUUCAAAGCUAACAUAAAGUCCCUAACACACUUAAGCAUUACAGAAGAGGCAAGUCGUAACAUGGUAAGUAUACCGGAAGGUGUGCUUGGAAA
Molecule: ribosomal RNA, 486 nt
Filed under: Osteocephalus carri
Lineage: Eukaryota; Metazoa; Chordata; Amphibia; Anura; Hylidae
Description: partial 12S ribosomal RNA
Rfam family: Bacterial small subunit ribosomal RNA
Source: RNAcentral